ACAUUGGGAGAUAGAUUUCACUGAG
This 25-nucleotide non-coding RNA is filed under the name Cricetulus griseus (Chinese hamster). The record is from RNAcentral. Lineage: Eukaryota; Metazoa; Chordata; Mammalia; Rodentia; Cricetidae.